RNAcentral lists this small nucleolar RNA (140 nucleotides) under Ochotona princeps (American pika). RNAcentral's name for it is "Small nucleolar RNA SNORA74 (ENSOPRG00000023505.1)". Lineage: Eukaryota; Metazoa; Chordata; Mammalia; Lagomorpha; Ochotonidae. The record is from RNAcentral.
UCCAGUUAUAGGCAACUGUCUAGGUUUCCUUGUACCUAGGCAAGUGUUACACUACUGGGAGGAAAGCAGCCAGUAGCUGGCAGGCAUUCUGGGCUUGGUUAAUGCUAAAUUAGUGUUAACUAUACCAGUGUGCCAGCAUA